RNAcentral lists this ribosomal RNA (1385 nucleotides) under uncultured bacterium. RNAcentral describes it as "bacterial SSU rRNA". It matches the Rfam family "Bacterial small subunit ribosomal RNA", at positions 18 to 1395 of the family's 1533-position model. The record is from RNAcentral.
CCUGGCUCAGAUUGAACGCUGGCGGAACGCUUUACACAUGCAAGUCGAACGGUAACGCGGAGAGAAGCUUGCUUCUCACCGGCGACGAGUGGCGAACGGGUGAGUAAUACAUCGGAACGUGUCCGCUCGUGGGGGACAACCAGCCGAAAGGUUGGCUAAUACCGCAUGAGUUCUACGGAAGAAAGAGGGGGACCCGCAAGGGCCUCUCGCGAGCGGAGCGGCCGAUGACUGAUUAGCCGGUUGGUGAGGUAACGGCUCACCAAAGCAACGAUCAGUAGCUGGUCUGAGAGGACGACCAGCCACACUGGGACUGAGACACGGCCCAGACUCCUACGGGAGGCAGCAGUGGGGAAUUUUGGACAAUGGGCGCAAGCCUGAUCCAGCUAUUCCGCGUGUGGGAUGAAGGCCCUCGGGUUGUAAACCACUUUUGUAGAGAACGAAAAGACACCUUCGAAUAAAGGGUGUUGCUGACGGUACUCUAAGAAUAAGCACCGGCUAACUACGUGCCAGCAGCCGCGGUAAUACGUAGGGUGCGAGCGUUAAUCGGAAUUACUGGGCGUAAAGGGUGCGCAGGCGGUUGAGUAAGACAGAUGUGAAUUCCCCGAGCUUAACUCGGGAAUGGCAUAUGUGACUGCUCGACUAGAGUGUGUCAGAGGGAGGUGGAAUUCACGUGUAGCAGUGAAAUGCGUAGAUAUGUGGAAGAACAUCGAUGGCGAAGGCAGCCUCCUGGGACAUAACUGACGCUCAGGCACGAAAGCGUGGGGAGCAAACAGGAUUAGAUACCCUGGUAGUCCACGCCCUAAACGAUGUUAACUAGUUGUUGGGAAGUAAAUUGUCAGUAACGCAGCCAACGCGAGAAGUUAACCGCCUGGGAAGUACGGUCGCAAGACUAAAACUCAAAGGAAUUGACGGGGACCCGCACAAGCGGUGGAUGAUGUGGAUUAAUUCGAUGCAACGCGAAAAACCUUACCUACCCUUGACAUGUCAGGAAGCUCUUGUAAUGAGAGCGUGCCCGCAAGGGAGCCUGAACACAGGUGCUGCAUGGCUGUCGUCAGCUCGUGUCGUGAGAUGUUGGGUUAAGUCCCGCAACGAGCGCAACCCUUGUCACUAGUUGCUACGAAAGGGCACUCUAGUGAGACUGCCGGUGACAAACCGGAGGAAGGUGGGGAUGACGUCAAGUCCUCAGGGCCCUUAUGGGUAGGGCCUCACACGUCAUACAAUGGUCGGCACAGAGGGCAGCGAAGUCGUGAGACGGAGCCAAUCCCAGAAAACCGAUCGUAGUCCGGAUUGCAGUCUGCAACUCGACUGCAUGAAGUCGGAAUCGCUAGUAAUCGCGGAUCAGCAUGCCGCGGUGAAUACGCUCAAGGGUCUUGUACACACCGCCC